UUGAUUUUGAGAGCUGGAAAAUUAUUUUCUCAGAAUCUAAGAAAAGUGCUGGUUACUUCAGCAGAGUCUCUCUUCCAGAAUAUAAUGUUCCUCGAGAGCAACAAGAAAUGGAAAUUCAAGCUAACAUCUUUGCUUUUGGAGUAGUUUUACUGGAAAUAAUCAGUGGAAGACCUCCAUAUUGCAAGGAAAGAGGGUGUCUGAUAAAUUGGGCCACAAAGUAUCUUCAAAACCCAGAAGAGAUAAGUAAACUAGUAGA
This is a long non-coding RNA of Zingiber officinale, 256 nucleotides long. RefSeq lists it as uncharacterized. The record is from RefSeq and is a predicted model, not a curated record. The transcript has 2 exons. NCBI's taxonomy places the organism in Eukaryota, Viridiplantae, Streptophyta, Magnoliopsida, Zingiberales, Zingiberaceae.